AGUGAACGCUGGCGGUAGGCCUAACACAUGCAAGUCGAACGGCAGCACAGUAAGAGCUUGCUCUUACGGGUGGCGAGUGGCGGACGGGUGAAGAAUACAUCGGAAUCUACUUUUUCGUGGGGGAUAACGUAGGGAAACUUACGCUAAUACCGCAUACGACCUACGGGUGAAAGCAGGGGAUCUUCGGACCUUGCGCGAUUGAAUGAGCCGAUGUCGGAUUAGCUAGUUGGCGGGGUAAAGGCCCACCAAGGCGACGAUCCGUAGCUGGUCUGAGAGGAUGAUCAGCCACACUGGAACUGAGACACGGUCCAGACUCCUACGGGAGGCAGCAGUGGGGAAUAUUGGACAAUGGGCGCAAGCCUGAUCCAGCCAUACCGCGUGGGUGAAGAAGGCCUUCGGGUUGUAAAGCCCUUUUGUCGGGAAAGAAAAGCAGCAGGUUAAUACCCCGCUGUUCUGACGGUACCCAAAGAAUAAGCACCGGCUAACUUCGUG
RNAcentral lists this ribosomal RNA (492 nucleotides) under uncultured bacterium. RNAcentral describes it as "partial 16S ribosomal RNA". It matches the Rfam family "Bacterial small subunit ribosomal RNA", at positions 29 to 507 of the family's 1533-position model. The record is from RNAcentral.